CCAUAGCCGGGAACUAAGGACCCCGAGGGAGAAACGCGGGGAUAACGGAGCCGGGGGGGGGCAAAGGGAAGGCCCUGCCCUCCCCCAGGGGCGGCUCUGCGCUGUGGGCCCGCCUCCUGUGCCCAAUGGAGGGGGACAUUGCUAAGGGGCGGUGCGGCGCAGGAUGAUGACGUCAUCACUACCAUCCUGUUGCGAUGAUCUCGAAGUGACAACGGAGCGAGGGGCCGAGGAUGAGAAGGGAGAUGGGGGGAGGGGGCAGUAAUGACGUCACGACGGCUUCUCUCCGCACGUUGAGGCCCACGUGACCUCUCAGUUCUCCCCCAGUGCCCCCAUUAUCAGUUUCUCCACACUGUUCCCAGUUUCCAUGGUUCCUUCCGGUUACCCCACGUAGCCCCCACUGACUCCAGUUUCCCCCCAUUAAUUCCAUCACCAGCUGCUCUCUCCCACCACCCCCAGUUCCCCUCCGUUAACCGUAUUCGCCCCCCUCAUCCCCAAGUGUCCCCAAUUCCCCCAUUGCCCCCAGUUCUCUCAUUGCCCCCAUUAACCCCAUACGAGAUGAAUUUCCUCGAGGGUGGAUCUUGCUACGUGAUAUUUCCCAGCCAACAUGAAAUAUAUCCUUGAACUAACAAAUACAGAGAAAGGUGGGUGCUAAGUUGAACUAUGAUUGUUAUCCCCUAAUGGCUGACAGCUGGGAAAGCAUCACUGGAGAAGGACCACCAGUGAGGCAGACUUUAGAGAAAGGUGAAAGGAGAGGUAGAAAGCUUUGAGUAUCUUAGUAAAUUCCCUGCUGUUACUUGGAUGCUUGGUUGCUGUUUGAUGCCCGUGAUUUGUACAUUUCUCAAACCAGGUGACAUGAAUAAUUUAAUGAAUUUUAGACCAACAAAAACAAGACUCAGUGCACACAGUGAUUGAAGUAUUGUCCUUUGGGAGUUAGGAAAGGGAAACACAGCCACUGGUUGCAGACAGAGAUGAAAGAAAGAGGUGGUUUGCCCAAAGAUACACUGCAUUUCCCAAUGGGAAAAAAAAAAAAAACAACAUUCAGACAAGUGAAAAUCUCUUCUGGAGCAGUUUGUAAUAGGUACCUCUACAAGCUCAUGCAUCUGCCAAAUAAAGGGAAUCAUGAAUCAUUUCCCAGAAUAAAUAUCUUCACGUUUCAUGCGUUAUGCUCUGCUCCCAGUUUUAUUUUCAUGGAAUACAAAAUCCCUCCUUCUUAUAGUGUGAUUCCUUUAAUGGCAUCUGAAGUAUCAUAUUUGCCUACACAGCUUCAACCUGUACAGACAGAUCUGAAAAGAAAUGGCCUUUCUUUGUUCAGAGAGGAAUUGUGCUGGUGAUUUCUGCAAGCUUACAAAUAUCUGUUAUCUGUAGUCCAUGUCACAAGCAAUUACAGCCAUCUUAGGACUCGACUUCCCACCAUCAGGGUGGGUAACAAAUGGUGUUGGAGGUGAGGUGUGUGUGUCCUGCACCUCAGAAAAACUGCAGGCUUCCAGCCAUCUGUUGGGCUUAAUUCUUAAGUCAUUGGCCUGCUUCCUUUGGCAUCCUCUGCUGCUCAACGUGGAGGCAUAAUGUGCAGUUGGGAAGAGAACAGGGGUUAAAUGAGACUGACAAGGCACCAUCCAAAACCACCGGGGGGAAUUGAAGGACGUCAACAUUUGUUUACUUUUUCUCUCUCUUUCAGGAUCUGUUGCAAAAUGUAAAAAUGAAAGGAGGAAAGUCUGCAGGUACCACUGAUCCCAAGCAACCUUUGUAUCGUGUGUGUUUGCCUGGUAAGUUUGCAUUUCAGAUCACAUGUGGAUAAACACAGCUCAAGGCCCAAACAGGUGACUGGCCCAUGAGAAAAGACUUGUGGCAGCUUGGGAACACACAUACACUGCCUCUUGCUUCUGUACGUAGCAAGAAGAAACCUGUUUGUGAGCUCUGCAACUGUAACCAGGUCUCCCUGCUUUCUGUGAAUGAUGCUUUCUUGUCUCCUGCUGUCAUAAAUAGAGCACUGAGGUGGUGUGGGCACUCUGCUGGCCAGCUGCCCCUACCAAGGUGAGUGCCUCUCUAUUAAACUGAUGGAUAUUAA
Molecule: non-coding RNA, 2065 nt
Organism: Meleagris gallopavo (turkey)
Lineage: Eukaryota; Metazoa; Chordata; Aves; Galliformes; Phasianidae
Source: RefSeq, a predicted model, not a curated record